ACUCCUUUCAGCAUCUUGUAAGGCAAGUCUAGUGGUGGUGAACUCUCUCAGCUUUACUUUGUCUGGCAAAGUCAUUAUCUCUCCAUUUCUGAAGGACAGCUUUGCUGAGUAAAGUAUUCUUGGUUAACAUUUUUUUUUUUCUUUCAGCACUUUGAACAUAUCAUCCUAUUCUUUCCUGACCUGCAGGAUUUCUGCUGAGAAAUCUGCUCAUAGCCUGAUGGGGGUUCUUUUCUAUGUGAGUAAUUUAUUUUUCUUUUGCUGCUUUUAAAAUUCUCUAUUUUUCUUUUAUUUUAGGCAGUUUUAUUAUAAUGUGUCUGGGAGAACAUUCUUUUGUAUUGAAUCUAUUUGGGGACCUAUGAACUUCAUAAAUUUGGAUGUCCAAAUCUCUCCCCAGAUUUGGGAAGUUCUCAUCCAUUAUUUAAAGGAAUAAGCUUUCUUCCUUUUUCUCCCUCUCUUCUCCUUCUGAGACUCCCGCAAUGAGUAAAUUGUUUCUUUUGGUGUAUUCCAUAAUUCACAUAGGCUUUGUUAAUUCUUUUUUCAUUCUUUCAUCCUUGGUCUCCUACUACUGCAUAACUUCAAAUGCGCUGUCUUCAAGUUCACAGAUUCUUUCUUCUGCUUGGUUAAGACUGAUGUUGAUGCUCUGUAUUGCAUUUUUUAUUUCAUUCAUUGUCUCCUUCAGCUCCAGAAUUUCUGCUUGGCUCUUUUUAUGAUUUCUGUCUCUCUAUUAAACUUCUCAUUUUGAUCAUAUAUUGUUUUUCUGGUUUCAUUGAAUUGUCUUUUUGUGUUUUCUUUUAGUUUACUGAGCUUCCUUAAAACAACUAUUUUGAAUUCUUUAUUGGGAAAAUUCAGGUCUCCAUUUCUUAGGAAUUGGUUACUAGAAAAUUAUUGUAUUCCUUUGGUGAUGUCAUGCUUCCUUGAAUUUUCAUAUUUCUUGAAUUCUGGCAUUGCUGUCUUCCAGUUUGAAGCAGCAGUCUCAUCCUCCAGUGUUUGCCGACUGGCUUCAGGAGAGAAACACCUUCUGUCAGUCUUGCUAGAGAUUCUGAGGCUUUCUCAGACCUUUUCUAUGGGUAUUCCUGCUCCACACUUCUUGUUCCCUCUUAAAUUCUUAAGAUUGUAUGUCUUCUCUUGACCCUGCAAAGCCAGGUUUGUUGUUGACAACCUCCCGUUUGCUUUCCCUGGGGCAGUGCUGAAUCCUCACGUUUUUUUGCCUUCUCCCAAUAUCACAGUGUCAGACUGGCUUUCUGCACAUGCUCACCUGCAGAGCAUAUCAUCAGCAGAGGCUCACACUUGCCACCUUUGGAAGUGCGCUCAAGGAGCUGGCCAUGAAGUGAGGCGUGCUGGAACUUCUCUGCUAGACUCCUGGACUUGGUAAUCUCAUGGACAAUGGCAAUCUUGUCCCUGGGAGUACUUAGGAGAAAUGGUGUCUCUUUGCUGUUCCUGUCUCUGAAGAAGAAUGAAGAUUCUGCUGGCCCUGAGUUAACUCCUAAACUACCCAGAAGAUGUAAAAUCUUGGAUGAUCAAGCUAUUUCAACCUAUUAAUAAUCACGGAGCUGAUGAAUGUGGUUAUAACAAGACUAGAGACCAGACUUUAUGCAUUCUACCACUGUGUUUAGUAGAAUAACUAAGAUGGGGACUCAGUUGAUGCUAUUGUUACUACCUUUGUUAUUUUAAACUGAAAAUAAUCUUAGUGAUCAUCAUUCUAAACAUUUCCUUUUACAGAUGAAGAAACUGUGGCCCAAAG
This is a long non-coding RNA of Equus caballus (horse), 1741 nucleotides long. NCBI's taxonomy places the organism in Eukaryota, Metazoa, Chordata, Mammalia, Perissodactyla, Equidae. The record is from Ensembl.